AGCAGUGUGGCUCAGUGGAAAGAGCACGGGCUUGGGAGUCAGAGGUCAUGGGUUCGAAUCCCAGCUCUGCCA
Ornithorhynchus anatinus (platypus) is the source of this 72-nucleotide non-coding RNA. The record is from Rfam. Lineage: Eukaryota; Metazoa; Chordata; Mammalia; Monotremata; Ornithorhynchidae.